AUCACCCUUUAAUAAAACUGAUAUUGUAUGUUAUUUUUUAAUAAAAAAAGUGAUAUUGAGUCACUUUUUUAAAAAAAGUGUCAAUUUUUAUUUUAAAAAAAAAGUGACAUUGUGACAUUUUUUUAUAUAACAUAGUAUUUUUUACUUUUAGAAAACUUUUCACAUGAUUUUUUAAAAGACCUUUAAUUUUAAGGGUAUUUUUGCAGGUUGCCCUUUUAAUUACUGUACAUUUGGCCCAUGAUAGGCCGGCGUAACCCGACGAGUUUAAAGAAAAUCCCUGGCCCAUUUGUUGUUUAAAACCGAACGGGUCAACUAAGUUCAAUAGAAUUCCAAAUUUUCUAGAUUUCUCACACACGCUUAAAAAUCCUUCUCUGCCGUCCCUUGCAAUCCCAUCAUAGGAAUCCAAAAUCUUCCAUUCCAAAUUGUGUUAGAUGGAAUAACAUGUAAGUCUGAAAUUUAAGUUCUAUUUUGUGACUUUUUGUGUAAUGAACUCAUUAUAUAUCAAGAAAAUGAUGUUUCUUUGACACCAACGUUGCUGGCUCUGUUGAUAGAUAUAUGGGUUUUGAUUUCCAAUUGGUUUCCUGUUGGUUAAGCUUCUUUCCCUUCCCCAGAAUCCAAAAUCAAUAUCUGCCCAAACUCAUAUUUCCCUUUAAUUUCAUGUUUGUUUCAAAUCCCUUUUUCCUUCCAAUUUUAGUGCAUAAUUAGUUUUAUUGGUCAAUUGAAUCACCACAUCCUUUUGCAGUUUGCUUUCAUUUAUGUAUAGACUAAGUUUUUUAAGUCCAACAAUUUGCAUACGAAUUUUUGCUUAUCCAAAUUUGAUUGGCUUUUUUGUCAAUUUAAUACCUAUAGUACCUAAUGUCAAUUUAAAAAUGUCUGCCUUGUAUUAAAAAUAAUUAUUUAGAAAUUUUAACAUUAUUAUUCAG
RNAcentral lists this long non-coding RNA (923 nucleotides) under Olea europaea subsp. europaea. Lineage: Eukaryota; Viridiplantae; Streptophyta; Magnoliopsida; Lamiales; Oleaceae. The record is from RNAcentral.